GGGGCUGUAGCUCAGUGGCAAAGCGCUUGUCUAGAGCGCAUGAGGCACUGGGUUCAAUCCUCAGCACCA
This 69-nucleotide transfer RNA is filed under the name Ictidomys tridecemlineatus (thirteen-lined ground squirrel). RNAcentral describes it as "Spermophilus tridecemlineatus (thirteen-lined ground squirrel) tRNA". It matches the Rfam family "tRNA". From Rfam's summary of the family: Transfer RNA (tRNA) molecules are approximately 80 nucleotides in length. The record is from Rfam by way of RNAcentral. Lineage: Eukaryota; Metazoa; Chordata; Mammalia; Rodentia; Sciuridae.